GUCUGGGUGAUCAGGGACGUAAACCAGCCAUGGCAAGGUGGUGAAGCACCACCAUGGAAGGGCACCAGCCGGGCCCUGGGGUCACAGAAGUGUCCCAGGAAGUGCAGCUGUUAAGCCUGGUGAGAGGAGAGCGAGCCAGGAGGACGGCGAGAGACAGGCAUGACGGGGCGGUCUCUGAAAUUACCACUGUGCCAGCUACGUGGCCCAGGUGGGUGGUUCACCGCACUGCCUACCCCUUCAUACCUCACCCCGUUACACCCUCCUGGAAUCAUCCUCAGUGGAGGCUGCACCGUUUCCUGCUGCCCACGUUUGACAAAGCAGGAAACUGUCUUUUCCAGACUUCCCCAUGAAGUGAGGUUUUGACAACUUCAUUCUCCAAGAGCAAACUCAGCCCCUGGAGUUUGUUCCUUCCCUGGGCCGUGGACACCCCUGCAGCAGUGGCUCCUUUCGGCGGCCGCUCUUCAGAGACGUGCUAGAGAGCAAUCGUUGAUGACAAUGUUUUCUUUUAAAAGUCCCAGAAAACAAAAAAUAAAUCCUGGGACUCAAAGCUUCCUGGGCCUGUGCCAUUAAGGCCCAUGCUUAGCAGGCUCUGCGACGUGUGGAGAUCAGGCCCACCGACCACACAGCAGUGGCUGAGGAUGGCUCACUCCUCGGCCACUCUCUGAAAUGGCAGAGGCCACUCUCAUGGCUGAGUGGUCUCUGCCACCCUCAGAGGCGUGGGUAAGAACAGGAGUUCCUGCUUGUCUCCUAGGUCCCCUAUUGUAUGUUGGCAGUCAGUGGAAAUCCAGUCUCAGGCCCUCUCAGGGGCCCCAGGCUGGUCAUUACAUUUAAAUCCUCCUGGUGUCCUGCAGACACCCAUGACCCAGGCCAAAGAGGGACCUUGCUGGUGGCCAGG
RNAcentral lists this long non-coding RNA (895 nucleotides) under Macaca nemestrina (pig-tailed macaque). RNAcentral's name for it is "lncRNA (ENSMNEG00000045674.1)". Lineage: Eukaryota; Metazoa; Chordata; Mammalia; Primates; Cercopithecidae. The record is from RNAcentral.